This 197-nucleotide ribosomal RNA is filed under the name uncultured bacterium. RNAcentral describes it as "partial 16S ribosomal RNA". It matches the Rfam family "Bacterial small subunit ribosomal RNA", at positions 328 to 539 of the family's 1533-position model. The record is from RNAcentral.
ACGCUCGACACCUACGGGGGGCAGCAGUGGGGAAUAUUGCACAAUGGGGGAAACCCUGAUGCAGCGACGCCGCGUGAGUGAAGAAGUAUUUCGGUAUGUAAAGCUCUAUCAGCAGGGAAGAAGAUGACGGUACCUGAGUAAGAAGCCCCGGCUAACUACGUGCCAGCAGCCGGGUAAUCUGAGCGGGCUGGCAAGGC